This is a long non-coding RNA of Halichondria panicea, 1580 nucleotides long. RefSeq lists it as uncharacterized. The transcript has 2 exons. The record is from RefSeq and is a predicted model, not a curated record. Lineage: Eukaryota; Metazoa; Porifera; Demospongiae; Suberitida; Halichondriidae.
UUAAGGCUUGGUGGUUGCUACAACACCUAUGCAGCCAGUAUCAGACUUUAUAGCUUGAGUUAUAGGACUGUAUCUUCAGCUAUUGCCACUAACCUACAACACUAUCAAGCGGAGCUUCUUUGUGAUUUUUGUUGCUGUUGAUGACGUCACGGUUGCAAAUAUAUUCACGUGAGCUGUCAGAUGGCGGAGCAACUGGUCAGUGGAUGUGAGCAAGUUUGAGGUGUCUGGUCGUUUCCUGGGCAGGCAGAUAGAGAAUGUGGAGCUGGUCUUCCAGGACCUCCUUCAGCUGCAAUACGAGGGUCUGGCAAUCAUGAAGAUGUUUAGAAGAUGUUUGGGAGGGCUAAAGUGAACGUUAAUUUGCUCAUCUUCCUCAUAAUUAUAUGAACAAAAGGCAUCAGAACAUUAAAUUUGAUUUUCACUAGCAAAUUGCUUGCAUUGACAAUUUACUGUGCAUGUGAGCAUUUAUCCAAUUCAAGGAGAAGCCCUUGUUAUGCCUCGAGGCGUAGCCGCACGAGGGAUACCGUAAAGCUGACUGUGCGUGUGUGUCUAUUAUUACCGCACGAGGGAUACGGUAAAGCUUACUGUGUGUGUGUGUGUGUGUGUGUCUAUCAUUACCAAGGAGAAGAAAAAAAUUACUGCCUUGUGUCAGGUAUAUAGUGUUGUGCUUGUACGGUGUAUGUAAGUACAUGUAUUCAUUUGUCUUACACCAGUUGAAGUGUUUCACUGCCCUCUCUUCUCCCCACACAGGACCUCCUUCAGCUGCAAUACGAGGGCCUGGCAAUCAUGAAGAUGUUUAGAAGAUGUUUGGGAGGGCUAAAGUGAACGUUAAUUUGCUCAUCUUCCUCAUAAUUAUAUGAACAAAAGGCAUCAGAGCGUUAAAUUGGAUUUUCACUAGCAAAUUGCUUUGUGUUCAUUGACAAUUUACUGUGCAUGUGAGCAUUUAUCAUUAUUACCAAGGAGAAGCCCUUGUUAUGCCUCGAGGCGUAGCCGCACGAGGGAUACAGUAAAGCUGACUGUGUGCGCGUGCGUGUGUCUGUGUGUCUGUUAUUGUUACCAAGGAGAAGCCUUUGUUAUUGCUGUGCUAUUGACAAGUUGUAAUUAAUUAACAACAUUAAUUUUGUUUUUAUAGUGUCUAACAUAAUUAUAUGUACUAGUAUAUAAUACUUCACUACUUUUCUCUGUGCAUUUAAAUUGUCAUUGAAUGCAUUAUGGCAGAAUUAAUUAAAAUCAAUUGUCAAAACUGUAUGAACUAGUGUUCAAGCUGGCGCUGUGCUAAUGCCUCUCGCCAUGUUUUUGCUUUCGCUGAAAAGUAUUAGAGUGUUAUAUUAGUUUCUAUAAUGAAUUUUAUAUUAAAGUUAGCUUAUCUAUAUAAAGUCACUGAGAAGAAAAGACUUAUUUACAUGCAUCUAUUGUUGUAUUAUGUGGCUUACUAGGACCUCAAGAAAGAAGAAAAUUGAUUCUUCCAAGAUCUGUAGUUCAGUGUAUAUAAUAUCUAAGAAGAAAAGACCUGUGUACAUGCAUAUUGUUAUCUAUAUUGUUAUAAUUAUGGUAGUGUUUUGUGGCUUACCAGGCCCUCAAGA